This 333-nucleotide unclassified non-coding RNA is filed under the name soil metagenome. RNAcentral describes it as "partial contains 5.8S ribosomal RNA, internal transcribed spacer 2, and large subunit ribosomal RNA". The stretch from base 1 to 120 matches the Rfam family "5.8S ribosomal RNA", at positions 35 to 154 of the family's 154-position model. The record is from RNAcentral.
GAUGAAGAACGUAGCGAAAUGCGAUAAGUAGUGUGAAUUGCAGAAUUCAGUGAAUCAUCGAAUCUUUGAACGCACAUUGCGCCCCUUGGUAUUCCAUGGGGCAUGCCUGUUCGAGCGUCAUUUGUACCUUCAAGCUUUGCUUGGUGUUGGGUGUUUGUCUCGCCUUUGCGUGUAGACUCGCCUUAAAAUAAUUGGCAGCCGGCGUAUUGAUUUCGGAGCGCAGUACAUCUCGCGCUUUGCACUCAUAACGACAGCGUCCAAAAGUACAUUUUACACUCUUGACCUCGGAUCAGGUAGGGAUACCCGCUGAACUUAAGCAUAUCAAUAGGAGGA